GGGGGUACCGGUAGGGUCUCACGUUAACGAGAUCAACCCCCUCCUUAAGUGGUAUAUGGUGCACCAUUCCUCGGUUAGAAGGUAGCCCAGCAUGUUCAGUAAACACCCCGCCAUACUGGACCGAUAGUUGCUCCAUCUCCCGGCCUUGCUCCUCUGUUAAGCCCUGGUAAUCUUGGACAUUCCCCUCUGUCUCCAGCGAGCCCAACUCCCACACCAGCAGCCAAGCCUCUACUUCAUCCAUUUGCAAUAAGGCCCUGGGUUCCACUAUCUUCAUUUCCAACGUGGGGUCUCCCUUCACUGCUAUCUUUCUUCCUCCCUGCUAGUACACCACGGUUAGUUUGCUCCAGUCCAGCGUUACCUCUCCCAAUUUUUCCAACCAUUCCACACCGAGGAUCACAUCUACUCCUCCUAGUUCGAACAAAUAGAACCUUUUAGCAAUUUCUGUCUCCCCUAACUCUAUUACCACCCUUUGGCAACAACCACUUGCCUUCUUCUUCUGGUCGUUCCCCAAACUUACUAGAUACGGAGACAUAUCUACCACAACCACCCCCAUUUCCUCUGCCAACCUUUGAUUGAUGAAAUUGUGGCUUGCGCCACUGUCAAUGAGGAUUAGCAACUAUCGGUUUCCUAUUCGCCCCCGCAACUUCAUUGUCUUGGGAGAGGUCAAGCCACCAGCGGAAAACGUCGAUAGUUCCAUCUGAGUGAGAUUCAACUUGGUUCCCACUGCGCCCCAUUCCUCCUCCUCUUCUUCCACCAUGAUCAACAUUCUUAAUCCCCUCUCAGGGCAUUGAUGGUCGGGACUGAACGACCCUCUGCAUCGGAAACACCCUCCUCUCUCCUCUUUACGAACUCCGAGUUAGGUAAGUUGCGAGUAUUUCUCUCUCACCCGUCGCCAUUGAUUCUCGCGACUCCGCCUCCCUAGGUCGCCUCCUUCUUUAAUGACCCAACACUCUCUGUGACUCCUCCUCGGCCCUGUGUAUCGCGACUAGUUUCCACUCAAGUGACCACCCUUUCCGUUCUCCCCCAAGAACUUUGAUUAUUGGACGCCGAUCCUCCACCAGUCUUCGAGUGAUUACAUAGCUUCUCCACAUCUCUCGCGACUCGCAUGGCCAACAUCAAGUCUUACGGAUCAUGCAGCCUCACAUGGUCGCCAACCUCCUCCUGAAGUCCCGC
Molecule: long non-coding RNA, 1173 nt
Filed under: Vigna radiata
Lineage: Eukaryota; Viridiplantae; Streptophyta; Magnoliopsida; Fabales; Fabaceae
Description: long non-coding RNA (VRAD_LNC000565)
Source: RNAcentral